GAUGAACGCUGGCGGCGUGCCUAAUACAUGCAAGUCGAGCGAGAGCGACCGGUGCUUGCUCUUCUGAAUUUAGUGGCGUACGGGUGAGUAACACGUGGGUAACCUGCCCAUCAGACGGGGAUAACAUCUGGAAACGGUUGCUAAAACCGCAUAGUUUUUUGAGCCGCAUGGCUUCAAGUUGAAAGGCGGCGCACGCUUCUGCUAUUGCUUGAACCCGCGGUGCAUUAGCUAGUUGGUGAGGUAACGGCUCACCAAGGCAGCGAUGCAUAGCCGACCUGGGGGGGUGAUCGGCCACAUUGGGACUGAGACACGGCCCAGACUCCUACGGGAGGCAGCAGUAGGGAAUCUUCCGCAAUGGACGAAAGCCUGACGGAGCAACGCCGCGUGAGUGAUGAAGGUCUUCGGAUCGUAAAACUCUGUUGUUAGAGAAGAACAAAUGUGAAAGUAACUGUGCACGACUUGACGGUAUCUAACCAGAAAGCCACGGCUAACUACGUG
RNAcentral lists this ribosomal RNA (498 nucleotides) under uncultured bacterium. RNAcentral's name for it is "partial 16S ribosomal RNA". It matches the Rfam family "Bacterial small subunit ribosomal RNA", at positions 28 to 507 of the family's 1533-position model. The record is from RNAcentral.